Ictidomys tridecemlineatus (thirteen-lined ground squirrel) is the source of this 2121-nucleotide non-coding RNA. The record is from RefSeq and is a predicted model, not a curated record. Lineage: Eukaryota; Metazoa; Chordata; Mammalia; Rodentia; Sciuridae.
ACGGCUCCCAGCAGGGACCAGCCACCCCACAAACCUCCAGCAAACCAUGAUUAUCAGGAGACCCCGUGCACCCCUGGGCUCUGACCAGGCUCCCCAUGUCCACCCUGGCCCACUCGUCACUCAGAGCUCUCACGUGUCAUCACCGUGUUCUGGGUGUGCAAUGGACCACUGUGGCUUCUGCCUGCCCCUUGUCCUAAUGUUGGUUUGGAGCCUCCCUCCUGACGUGGCUGGGAUGAGUAAGGACAGGGCUCCCAACACCUCCUGUGGCCCAAGAUGGGCACAGAAUUCUGCCCAGAGCAUCCCAUCUCCCUGGUCACUAUGAUUGGUUUCAAAAGGAGCAUGUGACCCAAUCUUGCCAAUCAAAUCCAACCCUGGGACUUUUGCCGCUACUGUGGAAAAGAGGCGCUCUCUUUCCACUGGGGCUGCUGGGCGGGUCUUGUCGGCAGCCAUCUCUGGCACCACACCGAGCCUGCCGGAGAGUAGGUCAGUGAGGCCGAGCGCAGAGCCACUGUGCCCCAGGGACGGGCUCCUGAGAGCUGGGGGUGUGCAGGCAGGUGUGCCUGAGAGCGCCUCCGUCCUUGGACUUCUCGGCUGUGAGAAGGAUAGCCACAGCCUCUCUCCCCCUGGUUUUUUUGGCCCAUGCCAGUUGAGUUGGAGUUCUGUCUUUUGCAGAUGGAAGCACCCACUUUCUAAUGCAGAAUACUUUGCAAAAUCUUCUGGGCUUCAUUCAAGAGUGACGAGGCGCUGGCUUUGGGGUGUGCACUGCUAUACACAGAAAUUAGGAAGAUUCGGCUCUGCCUCCAGACCGUCACUCCAGUCCAGAACUGGGUGGCAGGGUCUGGUUCCUGUCUUCAAGAAGGGGAUUAAAAGAAAAGAAGCUAAGGGGCUUUCCUAAGUGAACUCCAACAGGACGGCGGGUCGGCGUGACAGUGAUGGUGGAUGGCUUUGAGCCUCGCCGGAGUCCAGUGCCCAGCUAAGCCGUUUCCAUGACGGUUCUAUCGGAUUCAGUCCUCUCUGGCGCUGCCACUUACAGGCAAGGCAUCCGAGAGGGACGAUGUCAUUUCCCAGAGCCGCUCAGAGGGCAAACGGCGGAGGUGGAGGCCACGGCCCAGGCGUGCAGGGCCCAGAGCCCCCAUCUGUCUCCACACCUCGCCCAUCUCAGAAUCAGGGCUUCAUGGACACAAGCCUAGCAGGCCCCGUCCAGCUGGAAGCCCAACACUUGGAAAAGAAGGGUCCUGGGCAUCCAUCAGGCUGUUGUGCUGGGACAGACCCUUGGUCUACACACCUGGGUUUGCUCAUUAAACCUUCCCAGCAACCCUUCGGCGGCCGUUAUCCUGCCCGUUUUACGGAUGAGGAAGUUGAGGCUCCAGGAGACAAAGAAACCUCUCCAAAGUCAAGCAGCAGAGCAGCAGAGGGAGACAUGGCCGCUUUCGAGGUGAUGGGAGGAGGUGGGAAGGAGGGGAUACGUCAAAGUCGCAGGUCCACCGAGCCUGACUUCCCAAAGUGUCUGCAUUGCCCCUCGACAAGGAAUAUAUUGGCGGCAGAGUGCACCGUUCACUUUUAUAAAUUUAAGAAUUUAUUUUUAUGUAACCCAGAGCUACGAUAGAACUUCCAGCUGUCCCCUGGCUUCCAGGACACGCAUUUCUUUUCUAUGGCCAACGUUUAAGAAACGCUCAGCUGCUGCCCAGCGCCCUGGCAGAUCCCUCCCAGGAGCUAGGCCCAGACGCUCCCUGUUGUCCACAGUACAGCAGGCCUAGGGCCACCUGCAGCUCCCCCAGAAACCCCAUCAGGGCCAGGCCAGGUGGGACACAGGGCCUCGCUGCCCACUGGCCCAGGGGAUUCUGGGAAGGCCACGCUGACCUGCAGCCAAGGUCUCAUGACUCGGCCUGCUAUCCCAAAUGGCUCGAGUCCGACACUCGGGAGGGCGGGGCCCGGGCAGGAUGGGGACAGGGCCAUCAGCUGCUGUCACCCACCCUGUAAUUUCAAGGACUUUUAUCCAUUUUCCCCUCAAUUAUGUGCUGCUCGAAAUGGUCUUUCUCUGCUUCCUCACGGGCGCCUGCCCCUCACGCCUUCUUUGUGUCCCAGGUAAUUGCUAGUGACCUUUUCUAAGUGCACUAAUUA